CCUACGGGAGGCAGCAGUGGGGAGUUUUCCGCAAUGGGCGAAAGCCUGACGGAGCAAUACCGCGUGAGGGAGGAAGGCUCUUGGGUUGUAAACCUCUUUUCUCAGGGAAGAACAAAAUGACGGUACCUGAGGAAUAAGCAUCGGCUAACUCCGUGCCAGCAGCCGCGGUAAUACGGAGGAUGCAAGCGUUAUCCGGAAUUAUUGGGCGUAAAGCGUCCGCAGGUGGCAGUUCAAGUCUGCUGUCAAAGGUCAGGGCUCAACCCUGAACAGGCAGUGGAAACUGAACAGCUAGAGUGCGGUAGGGGCAGAGGGAAUUCCCAGUGUAGCGGUGAAAUGCGUAGAGAUUGGGAAGAACACCGGUGGCGAAAGCGCUCUGCUAGGCCUGCACUGACACUCAGGGACGAAAGCUAGGGGAGCGAAUGGGAUUAGAUACCCCAGUAGUCCUAGCCGUAAACGAUGGAUACUAGGCGUAGCUUGUAUCGACCCAAGCUGUGCCGUAGCUAACGCGUUAAGUAUCCCGCCUGGGGAGUACGCGCGCAAGCGUGAAACUCAAAUGAAUUGACGG
This 565-nucleotide ribosomal RNA is filed under the name uncultured cyanobacterium. RNAcentral describes it as "bacterial SSU rRNA". It matches the Rfam family "Bacterial small subunit ribosomal RNA", at positions 338 to 916 of the family's 1533-position model. The record is from RNAcentral. Lineage: Bacteria; Bacillati; Cyanobacteriota.